RNAcentral lists this ribosomal RNA (292 nucleotides) under uncultured bacterium. Its description in RNAcentral is "partial 16S ribosomal RNA". It matches the Rfam family "Bacterial small subunit ribosomal RNA", at positions 505 to 796 of the family's 1533-position model. The record is from RNAcentral.
GUGUCAGCAGCCGCGGUAAUACAGAGGGUGCAAGCGUUGUUCGGAAUUAUUGGGCGUAAAGCGCGUGUAGGCGGUGAUGCAUGUCGGGUGUGAAAGCCCUCAGCUUAACUGAGGAAGUGCGCCCGAAACUGCAUCGCUGGAGUGUCGGAGAGGAAGGCGGAAUUCCCGGUGUAGAGGUGAAAUUCGUAGAUAUCGGGAGGAACACCAGUGGCGAAGGCGGCCUUCUGGACGAACACUGACGCUGAGACGCGAAAGCGUGGGUAGCAAACAGGAUUAGAUACCCUGGUAGUCC